RNAcentral lists this ribosomal RNA (380 nucleotides) under uncultured eukaryote. RNAcentral describes it as "partial 18S ribosomal RNA". It matches the Rfam family "Eukaryotic small subunit ribosomal RNA", at positions 592 to 976 of the family's 1831-position model. The record is from RNAcentral.
CAAUAGCGUAUAUUAAAGUUGUUGCGGUUAAAAAGCUCGUAGUUGGAUUUCUGCUGAGGACGAUCGGUCCGCCCUCUGGGUGAGUAUCUGGCUCGGCCUUGGCAUCUUCUUGGAGAACGUUACUGCACUUGACAGUGUGGUGCGGUAUCCAGGACUUUUACUUUGAGGAAAUUAGAGUGUUUCAAGCAGGCGCACGCCUUGAAUACAUUAGCAUGGAAUAAUAAGAUAGGACCUUGGUUCUAUUUUGUUGGUUUCUAGAGCUGAGGUAAUGAUUAAUAGGGAUAGUUGGGGGCAUUCGUAUUUAACUGUCAGAGGUGAAAUUCUUGGAUUUGUUAAAGGCGGACUACUGCGAAAGCAUUUGCCAAGGAUGUUUUCAUUGA